Molecule: long non-coding RNA, 1538 nt
Filed under: Ictidomys tridecemlineatus (thirteen-lined ground squirrel)
Lineage: Eukaryota; Metazoa; Chordata; Mammalia; Rodentia; Sciuridae
Description: lncRNA (ENSSTOG00000030714.1)
Source: RNAcentral
CUCUCAGUGUGGAGAAAAAAAUAAAACUUUCUGAAAAUAGAAUGGUAGCACUUUGGGCUUCAAAGUUGCUGGAAAAAUUCUAAUUAAAUAAGUUUGAGAAAUAGGCUGAGAUGCCAGCUUAUAUCAUCUUCCCGAGAAACACAAUAAAGUUAAAGUAGCAGGAUAAAACUAAAAUAACAAAAAUCUGUAUGAAAAUGCAGGAGCUCUACCAGGAUGGGUAGGAUUUGAAGAGCAAGGUAGCAGAGGAAAGAAAAGUGGUUUUUUUAAGUUCACCCUGACAUUCUGUACCUGUUUUCCCCUCCAGGCAUUUGCUGAUGCAAAAACUGCACAGGUGGAGAGGCUGAGAAGCCAAGCAGAAAGCCCUGCCAAGGGGCAGAGAAGUAGGGCAGAGCCUUUGUUGUUCUCCAGGGGCCUGGGAUGCACAAACAUGAGUUCAGAGCUGGCAGCAAAGCCAAGAGAGAGCCAUGCCUCUGUCUGUCAAUGAAGAAGUCUUUCCUGGACAUUUGUAACCUUCAGUUGAGCUGGGAAUCCCAUUUCUAUUUCCUGCUUGUACCAGGAACCAUGAGACAACUGGUCUGGAAAGAGGUAUCAAGGAACAUCUUCGUUCAUUCAUUUUCAGUGAGCAGCACAGAGGUUGGAGUCAAAAGAAUAUGUGUCCUCUGUCUCAAAAUUUUUUUUCUGAUUUCCUGUCAGCAAUAAAUUCACAUGAAGAUCAUGCCUUAGAGGGAGGCAACUGUACUUCCUAAUUAAGAAGGAACAUACUAUCCUUGGCUUAGGUGUCCGCUGCAGAGCAGGUCUUUUUUAAAAACUGUAAUGUUUUUGACUUGACAUUUAAUUCCACAGACACUUACUAAACAUUUAUACAGUUCCUCUCUCAAGGAACUUUUAAUCUUGCAGCACAGAGAAAAGUCAUGGGCGAAAUGACAUGGAUCCGAGUACGUGACACUCAGCUUUUAUUUUACCACAUCAGUUCCUUCGAUUGGUCCCUUAUAACACGGUUUUAAGAUCUUUUCUCAUUCUGGUUCACAAAACCAAGAAAGUUGAACAGAUUUGUCAGGUGCAGUUCCUGAAAUUACACGUAUGGCAAUAGGAGCCAUUUAUGGAGGACAUCUUCAAUUCUCGUUGCUAGGGAGUGAGUAUGGUACCAGGAAUCUGGAAGCACAGAGGUAAAAGCAAUGGAAUGGAGGAGGAAAUACAUAUACAAUGUACAUUCCCAAAGUCAGAGUGACAGGGAACCUGUGUCAGCUACAAGUGUGGCUGGCUGACUCCACCACAGCUAGAGGAGUGACUCUAGUCAGGGCUAGACUUUCUCCAAGCAUGUUGGACCCAAUGAUGAUUCACAACAAACCUAUCAACUCCAGAAGCAUGAGCCAUUAGGACACACUGGGUCUCCAUGUUCAACCACUAACUGAAUUAAGUUUUCAAAAAUUCUCAGAAUAAAGUCGUUUCCCAAACAAUUAGGUGUGGGUGCUAAUUCCAUAUAGAUAAAAUUAAAUGCAUAUGUGAAACGGGUUUUUUUCACCUCCAAUAAUUAAAAC